UACGUAGGGUGCGAGCGUUAAUCGGAAUUACUGGGCGUAAAGCGUGCGCAGGCGGUUUGAUAAGCCAGAUGUGAAAUCCCCGAGCGCAACUUGGGAACUGCGUUUGGAACUGUCAGACUAGAGUGCGUCAGAGGGGGGUGGAAUUCCGCGUGUAGCAGUGAAAUGCGUAGAGAUGCGGAGGAACACCGAUGGCGAAGGCAGCCCCCUGGGAUGACACUGACGCUCAUGCACGAAAGCGUGGGGAGCAUUCAGG
RNAcentral lists this ribosomal RNA (253 nucleotides) under uncultured bacterium. RNAcentral's name for it is "partial 16S ribosomal RNA". It matches the Rfam family "Bacterial small subunit ribosomal RNA", at positions 524 to 776 of the family's 1533-position model. The record is from RNAcentral.